This 871-nucleotide ribosomal RNA is filed under the name uncultured bacterium. RNAcentral describes it as "bacterial SSU rRNA". It matches the Rfam family "Bacterial small subunit ribosomal RNA", at positions 51 to 919 of the family's 1533-position model. The record is from RNAcentral.
ACACAUGCAAGUCGAGGGGCAGCACAGGUAGCAAUACCGGGUGGCGACCGGCGCACGGGUGAGUAACGCGUAUGCAACUUGCCUAUCAGAGGGGGAUAACCCGGCGAAAGUCGGACUAAUACCGCAUGAAGCAGGGAUCCCGCAUGGGAAUAUUUGCUAAAGAUUCAUCGCUGAUAGAUAGGCAUGCGUUCCAUUAGGCAGUUGGCGGGGUAACGGCCCACCAAACCGACGAUGGAUAGGGGUUCUGAGAGGAAGGUCCCCCACAUUGGUACUGAGACACGGACCAAACUCCUACGGGAGGCAGCAGUGAGGAAUAUUGGUCAAUGGGCGCGAGCCUGAACCAGCCAAGUCGCGUGAGGGAUGAAGGUUCUAUGGAUCGUAAACCUCUUUUAUAAGGGAAUAAAGUGCGGGACGUGUCCCGUUUUGUAUGUACCUUAUGAAUAAGGAUCGGCUAACUCCGUGCCAGCAGCCGCGGUAAUACGGAGGAUCCGAGCGUUAUCCGGAUUUAUUGGGUUUAAAGGGUGCGUAGGCGGCCUUUUAAGUCAGCGGUGAAAGUCUGUGGCUCAACCAUAGAAUUGCCGUUGAAACUGGGGGGCUUGAGUAUGUUUGAGGCAGGCGGAAUGCGUGGUGUAGCGGUGAAAUGCAUAGAUAUCACGCAGAACCCCGAUUGCGAAGGCAGCCUGCCAAGCCAUUACUGACGCUGAUGCACGAAAGCGUGGGGAUCAAACAGGAUUAGAUACCCUGGUAGUCCACGCAGUAAACGAUGAUCACUAGCUGUUUGCGAUACACUGCAAGCGGCACAGCGAAAGCGUUAAGUGAUCCACCUGGGGAGUACGCCGGCAACGGUGAAACUCAAAGGAAUUGACGGGGG